CCUACGGGAGGCACCAGUAGGGAAUCUUCGGCAAUGGACGAAAGUCUGACCGAGCAACGCCGCGUGAGUGAAGAAGGUUUUCGGAUCGUAAAACUCUGUUGUUAGAGAAGAACAAGGACGUUAGUUACUGAACGUCCCCUGACGGUAUCUAACCAGAAAGCCACGGCUAACUACGUGCCAGCAGCCGCGGUAAUACGUAGGUGGCAAGCGUUGUCCGGAUUUAUUGGGCGUAAAGCGAGCGCAGGCGGUUUCUUAAGUCUGAUGUGAAAGCCCCCGGCUCAACCGGGGAGGGUCAUUGGAAACUGGGAGACUUGAGUGCAGAAGAGGAGAGUGGAAUUCCAUGUGUAGCGGUGAAAUGCGUAGAUAUAUGGAGGAACGCCAGUGGCGAAGGCGGCUCUCUGGUCUGUAACUGACGCUGAGGCUCGAAAGCGUGGGGAGCAAACAGGAUUAGAUACCCCCGUAGUC
RNAcentral lists this ribosomal RNA (465 nucleotides) under uncultured bacterium. RNAcentral describes it as "bacterial SSU rRNA". It matches the Rfam family "Bacterial small subunit ribosomal RNA", at positions 338 to 795 of the family's 1533-position model. The record is from RNAcentral.